AUCCUCUUGCCCCUAUGACAUGUCCCAGCCUGGGCUGAGGUUUUACUUCCAGAGGCCCUGCCCUCCAGGGCUCUGAUGUCUGUGCAGCCACCUCAGUCUGCUCCCACAGGAAGGUACCAUCACUUGCAACCAGAAGCCAUGCCCAAGAGGACCCUGCCCUGAGCCAGGAGCAUGCUGCCCGCACUGUGAGCCAGGCUGUGAUUAUGAGGGGCAGCUUUAUGAGGAGGGGGGCACCUUCCUGUCCAGCUCCAACCCUUGUCUGCAGUGCACCUGCCUGAGGAGCCGAGUUCACUGCAUGCCCCUGAAGUGCCCGCCCAGCCCCUGCCCAGAGCCAGUGCUGAGGCCUGGGCACUGCUGCCCAACCUGCCAAGGCUGCACAGAAGGUGGCUCUCACUGGGAACAUGGCCAAGAGUGGACAACACCUGGGGACCCCUGCCGAAUCUGCCGGUGCCUGGAGGGUCACAUCCAGUGCCGCCAGCGAGAAUGUGCCAGCCUGUGUCCAUACCCAGCCCGGCCCCUCCCAGGCACCUGCUGCCCUGUGUGCGAUGAAUGGGAGUGUCCAGUGUGAGCCUCUGCCCUGCCCGCCAGUGCCCUGCAGACACCCAGGCAGGAUCCCUGGGCAGUGCUGCCCUGUCUGCGAUGGCUGUGAGUACCAGGGACACCAGUAUCAGAGCCAGGAGACCUUCAGACUCCAAGAGCGGGGCCUGUGUGUCCGCUGCUCCUGCCAGGUAGGCGGUCCCUCCGCUCACACCCAGAUCUGCCUCAUUCCUUCAGGGUGUCUCACCUGCUUCCCUCCUAGGCUGGCGAGGUCUCCUGUGAGGAGCAGGAGUGCCCAGUCACCCCCUGUGCCCUGCCUGCCUCUGGCCUCCAGCUCUGCCCAGCCUGUGAGCUGGAUGGAGAGGAGUUUGCUGAGGGAGUCCAGUGGGAGCCUGAUGGUCGGCCCUGCACCGCCUGCAUCUGUCAAGAUGGGGUACCCGAGUGCGGGGCUGUGCUCUGCCCCCCAGCCCCCUGCCAGCACCCCACCCAGCCCCCUGGUGCCUGCUGCCCCAGCUGUGACAGCUGCACUUACCACAGCCAAGUGUAUGCCAAUGGGCAGAACUUCACGGAUGCAGACAGCCCUUGCCAUGCCUGCCACUGUCAGGAUGGAACUGUGACAUGCUCCUUGGUUGACUGCCCUCCCACGACCUGUGCCAGGCCCCAGAGUGGACCAGGCCAGUGUUGCCCCAGGUGCCCAGACUGCAUCCUGGAUGAAGAGGUGUUUGUGGACGGCGAGAGCUUCUCCCACCCCCGAGACCCCUGCCAGGAGUGCCGAUGCCAGGAAGGUCAUGCCCACUGCCAGCCUCGCGCCUGCCCCAGGGCCCCCUGUGCCCAUCCGCUGCCUGGGACCUGCUGCCCGAACGACUGCAGCGGCUGUGCCUUUGGCGGGAAAGAGUACCCCAGCGGAGCGGACUUCCCCCACCCCUCUGACCCCUGCCGUCUGUGUCGCUGUCUGAGCGGCAACGUGCAGUGCCUGGCCCGCCGCUGCGCGCCGCUGCCCUGUCCAGAGCCUGUCCUGCUGCCGG
This 1562-nucleotide long non-coding RNA is filed under the name Pan troglodytes (chimpanzee). Its description in RNAcentral is "long non-coding RNA NONPTRT016379". The record is from RNAcentral. Lineage: Eukaryota; Metazoa; Chordata; Mammalia; Primates; Hominidae.